UAGGGAAUCUUGGACAAUGGGCGAAAGCCUGAUCCAGCCAUGCCGCGUGAGUGAUGAAGGCCUUAGGGUUGUAAAGCUCUUUCGCCAGGGAAGAUAAUGACGGUACCUGGAUAAGAAGCCCCGGCUAACUUCGUGCCAGCAGCCGCGGUAAUACGAAGGGGGCUAGCGUUGUUCGGAAUUACUGGGCGUAAAGCGCACGUAGGCGGCUUUCCAAGUUGGAGGUGAAAUCCCCGGGCUUAACCCGGGAACUGCCGCCAAAACUGAAAGGCUAGAGUCCGAGAGAGGUGAGGGGAAUUUCCAGUGUAGAGGUGAAAUUCGUAGAUAUUGGAAAGAACACCAGUGGCGAAGGCGGCUCACUGGCUCGGUACUGACGCUGAGGUGCGACAGCGUGGGGAGCAAACA
RNAcentral lists this ribosomal RNA (402 nucleotides) under uncultured bacterium. RNAcentral's name for it is "bacterial SSU rRNA". It matches the Rfam family "Bacterial small subunit ribosomal RNA", at positions 355 to 774 of the family's 1533-position model. The record is from RNAcentral.